CUUACCAAGGCUUGACAUCCUCUUGAAAAGCGUAGAGAUACGCUCCCUCUUCGGAGCAAGGGAGACAGGUGGUGCAUGGUUGUCGUCAGCUCGUGUCGUGAGAUGUUGGGUUAAGUCCCGCAACGAGCGCAACCCCUAUUAUUAGUUGCCAGCACUUCGGGUGGGCACUCUAAUGAGACUGCCGGUGAUAAACCGGAGGAAGGUGGGGAUGACGUCAAAUCAUCAUGCCCCUUAUGUCUUGGGCUACACACGUGCUACAAUGGUCGGUACAACGGGAUGCGAAGGAGCGAUCUGGAGCGAAUCCCAAGAAGCCGAUCUCAGUUCGGAUUGUAGGCUGCAACUCGCCUGCAUGAAGUUGGAGUUGCUAGUAAUCGCGAAUCAG
Molecule: ribosomal RNA, 382 nt
Filed under: uncultured bacterium
Lineage: Bacteria
Description: bacterial SSU rRNA
Rfam family: Bacterial small subunit ribosomal RNA
Source: RNAcentral